GUACUGAUGAAGAGUCCCAAAUUAGGACGAAACCGCUGUCCAAUAC
This 46-nucleotide non-coding RNA is filed under the name Trichobilharzia regenti. Lineage: Eukaryota; Metazoa; Platyhelminthes; Trematoda; Strigeidida; Schistosomatidae. The record is from RNAcentral.